AUACAGAGGGUGCAAGCGUUAAUCGGAUUUACUGGGCGUAAAGCGCGCGUAGGUGGCUAAUUAAGUCAAAUGUGAAAUCCCCGAGCUUAACUUGGGAAUUGCAUUCGAUACUGGUUAGCUAGAGUAUGGGAGAGGAUGGUAGAAUUCCAGGUGUAGCGGUAAAAUGCGUAGAGAUCUGGAGGAAUACCGAUGGCGAAGGCAGCCAUCUGCCCGAAUACUGACACUGAGGUGCGAAAGCAUGGGGAGCAAACAGGAUUAGAUACCCUGGUAGUCCAUGCCGUAAACGAUGUCUACUAGCCGUUGGGGCCCUUGAGGCUUUAGUGGCGCAGCUAACGCGAUAAGUAGACCGCCUGGGGAGUACGGUCGCAAGACUAAAACUCAAAUGAAUUGACGGGG
RNAcentral lists this ribosomal RNA (396 nucleotides) under uncultured bacterium. Its description in RNAcentral is "partial 16S ribosomal RNA". It matches the Rfam family "Bacterial small subunit ribosomal RNA", at positions 523 to 918 of the family's 1533-position model. The record is from RNAcentral.